This is a long non-coding RNA of Gasterosteus aculeatus aculeatus (three-spined stickleback), 762 nucleotides long. NCBI's taxonomy places the organism in Eukaryota, Metazoa, Chordata, Actinopteri, Perciformes, Gasterosteidae. The record is from Ensembl.
AUAUGAGCCUAAAUCAGCACCCAUGUGAGCCUAAAUCAGCACCCAGGUGAGUUUAAAUGUUGUUUGAUGCGGUUUAAACUGCUAGUUAGGAUCCUUUACUUACUUUACUAUCUGUGGUAUCAGCGCGCCUGGUAAGUGCAGUAAAAACAUUCAUGGAGGGUUAAAAUUCAACGCUUGAAAAUGUCUCUCAGAAAGGAAUCAGGAAUUAAAUCCAGUAUACAGAAGAAUCCCUUGACAUGCAAUGCGAAGUUGGUUCAGGGGCACCAGACUCCAUUGCGAAAUGUUUCGUCUUCUGUUUUGUCUAUUUUUUGUCAAACUCCAGUUGAAGGACCGAAUUCUUUGACCCUCCAGCUUUCAAAACCCAGCGGAUCAACACAAAAAAUAGAUGUUCGGUUAAGAACCAGCCUACUUGUUGCCGUUUCAAGCAGAGUCGUCCUCAAUGCGCAAAUGCAGACCGCGGGCUGUUGUUCACUGGACAGCAGCGGACUUAGCGGGCGGGCAGGUGAGGUCAAAAGACUCUUUACUCAGAAGCCCUUCGGUGUUUCAUGCAGCUGCAGAAUUCUCGAGCUGGUCACAAAAACAAAUCAGUGCGCACUGAAUGUCAGCGACAGAGGGGCUGCGAUGAGCUGCAGAAACGACGGACGAGCAGAGAUCACCAACCAGGCGGACGUAGGUAACACUAACUUGCUACCAAGCAAUUUUUUACGCCCCAGUCUAGGGGUGCCUAAGGUGCAACAUGAAUAGGCCCCAAUCUUCCCCGUC